This 284-nucleotide unclassified non-coding RNA is filed under the name plant metagenome. Its description in RNAcentral is "partial contains small subunit ribosomal RNA, internal transcribed spacer 1, and 5.8S ribosomal RNA". The stretch from base 1 to 53 matches the Rfam family "Eukaryotic small subunit ribosomal RNA", at positions 1779 to 1831 of the family's 1831-position model. The record is from RNAcentral.
GGAGUAAAAGUCGUAACAAGGUUUCCGUAGGUGAACCUGCGGAAGGAUCAUUAUUGUAUAACCGAGGUGCGAGGGCUGUCGCUGUCCCGAAAGGUCGUGCACGCCCGAGUGCCCUCACACACAUCCAUCUCACCCCUAUGUGCACCACCGCGUGGGUCCCCCUUUGGCUUGUUCGGAGGGGGGCUUACGUUUUCACACAAACUUUGUAUGCAGUGUAGAAUGUAUUUUUUGUUUUUGCGAUCACGCAAUCAAUAUAACUUUCAACAACGGAUCUCUUGGCUCUC